This 301-nucleotide ribosomal RNA is filed under the name uncultured bacterium. RNAcentral's name for it is "partial 16S ribosomal RNA". It matches the Rfam family "Bacterial small subunit ribosomal RNA", at positions 509 to 809 of the family's 1533-position model. The record is from RNAcentral.
CAGUCGCCGCGGUAAUACCGAGGGUGCGAGCGUUAAUCGGAUUUACUGGGCGUAAAGCGUGCGUAGGCGGCUUCUUAAGUCGGAUGUGAAAUCCCUGAGCUUAACUUAGGAAUUGCAUUCGAUACUGGGAAGCUAGAGUAUGGGAGAGGAUGGUAGAAUUCCAGGUGUAGCGGUGAAAUGCGUAGAGAUCUGGAGGAAUACCGAUGGCGAAGGCAGCCAUCUGGCCUAAUACUGACGCUGAGGUACGAAAGCAUGGGGAGCAAACAGGAUUAGAUACCCCAGUAGUCCCUGUCUCUUAUAU